UGAGUCGGAGGUGGACUCACAUGCUAGGACUUGCCGGAAAUGGCCAUAAAAACUCAAAUCGGAGGACGUCUGAACCGGGGAUCUUCAAGGUCAGGCCUUGGAUCUUUGAAUAAAGAGAGGAUAAGGGUGAGUGUGGGUGGAUAUGGGUUGCACAGGGCUUGGGAAGCCAUAGUUUCCGGUAAAACAAGGUCGAAAAUUGGUCGGAGAAGGCUAGGGUUUCAGAGGGUGGUUGAGAGCAUUUGGGAGGCAUAAG
RNAcentral lists this long non-coding RNA (253 nucleotides) under Nicotiana benthamiana. Its description in RNAcentral is "long non-coding RNA (NBEN_LNC015607)". The record is from RNAcentral. Lineage: Eukaryota; Viridiplantae; Streptophyta; Magnoliopsida; Solanales; Solanaceae.